AGAUUCUGAUAAAGACACAGGGAGGGAGAAGUCGAACCGAAGACUUUGUUUUUUUGUCCAUUUGUUCUUCAGCCUUCCAAAGAGAAAGCUCUCGGUGAGACUGCCUCCAGAUGUCCUCACGUACACUUGGGUUGAUAAAAGCCCGACGUGUGCACCACGAAGAUGGACCAGAGCUGAGGACCAAACCCAGGCUAGGCAAGCGCUCUACCACUGAGCUACACUCCCAACCCCUUCACCUUGCCAUUCUGACCUGGAAGCAGUCAGUGUUUGGAGUUUGGAAACUCUUUUUCUUGUAGGAAAAAGUGCUCUCCCCGUGUCUUUGAAGGUGGCAGCUUGCAGAAAGGAAAUGGAAUGGAGCAACACCAUAGCAGAAGAAGCAGCUUGCUUCAGACUCUCUCAGGCUACAGGAUAGCUUCCCCAGAGAGACGAUGGAUAUGGGCCAGAGGUCAGCCAUUCACCGUGAAUUCACACAUGGAGAGAAGAGCUAGUGGCCUCGGCAGCUCUCUUCCUGAUCGGAGCCUUGGCUGUUCUUCUUCCAAACAUUCUUCCAAAUGUUCCACCUGCACCCGCUCACCUCUGUCUCACCUCUGCCGUCGUGUUCAGACUCGGCUUCACAUCUAACCCUGGCCUUGAUCCGGUUUUACUUCUGUGAACAGACACCAUGACCAAGGCAACUCUUAUAAGGACAACAUUUAACUGGGGCUGGCUUGCAGGAUCAGAGGUUCAGUCUAUUAUCAUCAAGGUGGAAGCACAGCAGCAUCCAGGCAGGCAUGGAACAGGAGAAGCAUGGUACAUCUGAAGGUUGAAAGAAGACUGGCUUCCAGGCAACUAGGGUCUUAAAGCCCACAUCCACAGUAACACGUGUACUCCAGCAAGGCCACACCUCCUAAUAGUGCCCCUCCCUGGGCCAAACAUAUACAAACCACCACAGUAUGCAUCUGUGUGGGUCUGUGCAUGAGUGCAGAUACAAAUGGAGCCAAGACUGCUGGAUCCUCUGGGGCUGGAGUUACAGAUAGUUGUGAACCAUCUGAUGUGGAGCUGGGAACUGAACUCUGGUCCUCUGGAAGAACAGCGUAUGCACUUAACCACUGAGCCAUCUCUCCAGCCCCAGAAAUAACUUUCAAGUGCCUUGGUCCCUCUCCUACUCUUCUGUUGAUGACUGAAGGCCACUCCAGGAUUUCUGUCUUCACCUUCUGGCUGGCUUUCAUGGCUCUCCCUGGGGCUGAUAGAGAUAUCCUUUACAAAGACAAACUAAGUUUAUGUUGACUGACCUUUUAUUU
Mus musculus (house mouse) is the source of this 1280-nucleotide long non-coding RNA. RefSeq annotates it as predicted gene 12596. The transcript is spliced from 4 exons. NCBI's taxonomy places the organism in Eukaryota, Metazoa, Chordata, Mammalia, Rodentia, Muridae. The record is from RefSeq and is marked predicted.